RNA transcript from Orcinus orca (killer whale), 12408 nucleotides. It is a transcript of the gene named pleckstrin homology like domain family A member 3, with no coding region annotated. The transcript is spliced from 3 exons. Lineage: Eukaryota; Metazoa; Chordata; Mammalia; Artiodactyla; Delphinidae. The record is from RefSeq and is a predicted model, not a curated record.
CUUCCAUGCUCCCUUUGGCUCGCGGGGUGUGACUGUGCUCCGUUUGGCGAGGCAGAGGCCAUGGACGCGUGGAGGAGGCGUUGGAGCGUAUUAGGGGCGGCCGGGGCCAGGUAGCAGCAGGUCAAAGGCCCCGAGGGGCUGAGGAUGAAGAUGCAGCCCCCGGGUACUCAGACUCCCGCUCAGGACCUUCCGGCCACCGGCCUGGCCUCCGAGAUCGUGAUGGAGAGCUGCCAUCCAAGCCCCCUCCCGCCACGGCCCUGCGUCUCUGCUGCAGACUGUGCACCGGCCCCCCGGCUUGGUGCCGUGCCCGGAGAAGGGCAGUCCCCCGGGGGCGCCGAGCCAGCGCCCCAGGACUCGGGAGGCCGGGCUGGCGCUCAGAAGAGGAACCACCUGGGCUCGCCUCCGGAUUUACUUUGGCGGGGGUAGCUGAUGGGUCUGAGGCCCACACCUGGGGGUCAUCUGCUGCUUGGGUCCUUCUGGGACCCCCACCCAUCCAGGCCUCUCUUUGCACAGUUCUUUCCCCCUCCUUCCCCUCUUCCCCCACUGCGGUACUAGGCCUGGAGGUGGUGGGGGGGUGGGGGGGUCAGCCAUUACCAUUUCACACCCGUCCACAAAUGCAGAUGCCCUGCAAGGGGCAGUGACCACACCGUUCGCUCGCUGAGUGGAAUUCUUCGCCCGCCGCUAAGACCUGGUGCUUGGAGUAUCUGUCCUCACCCCACUUUCCCAGUCCACACCCCAUCCUGCAGUCUCCAGCCUGGGGAGGGAGAGACCCUGCAACCCAGGGAACAUGGACUCAGAGGUCCUAGGGGAGGGGCCGUGAGGCCUGCACGGGCCCACUCGGUCUCGAGAGACGCCCCUCUGCCUGCUCUUCUGGGGGGGCGGCUCUGCAUUCUGGGUAGGGCCUGUCUCUGUCAUUUACACACUUGGGCCUUGUACAUUAACACCGUUAAGUCUUCUCUACGGGAUGGUUGAAAAGGAAUAAUUUCAGUAGCGGGGAAACCGAGGUACAGAGACACAGCUGUCCUGAGUGACACAGACACUGCCGAUCGGGUAACCCACGUCCGGCCUCCCCUGUUGCCAAGUGGCGGCUGCCCGGCAGGGGCGGGGAGGCUGAAUGUCCCCUGCAACGAGGCGGGGUCCUUCAGUGCUUCCAACCUGUUCGUUCCGCAUCAGAUUCCUCCUGCUGUCCGAUCACGAUCUCUGUCCUUUGUCCCCGUCCCUCAGAGUCCUCUGAAGCUUCUUGCUUAUCUGAUAUGUGAACUACAUCUUACAAUCAAAUAAGAACUUACCAGUUACCAAGGAAUUUUUACAGAUCUCUCAUUUAUGAUCUCCUUAGGCUGCAUACCCAGCCCAUGAUGGCAAAUAAGCAUCGCCGUCCGUGCCAGCUAGUGUGCUGUGAUCAAUUGGUGAUGUCUGCCGUGAGCUUUGGGAGAAAGGUGGGGAGGUUGGCAGCUCUUGUAUAUAUGUGUGGGGAGAGCAUGGUGUCUGCCACUGUUUCCUUGAUUCACGCUACAUGAGAGGCUUAGCUUCUCCAUCCUGCUCUAAAACAGCAGCCUCUAAACUAGAAUCCUCAAUAAAUAAAUAAAUAAAAAUAAAAUAGAAUCCUUGCUCUUUCCAUCGAGCCCAAAGGUGACUUUGGUGAUGGUGAUGGUGAGGAUUCAGGGAGGCGUCCAGACACUCAGACACGGGGGCGUGUUUGUGCGCAGGUGGAAUCAGGGUGCAGGACACACUCAUCCAGCAGACAUGCCAAUGCCUCUUGCAGCCAGGUGCUGCGCUGGGCGCUGGGGCGCGGAGAUGAAGAAACACCUGAUCUGAGCCAGAGCCCAGGGCGAGGAGGUACCUGCUGUGCCGGUAGAGGGGUGUCAGCGGCACAGGCGGUGUCCUUCUGCCUGGCACUGUCCCGUCCGCAGCGGAGCCUGCAGGGGUGGUUCUGGAGUUUGGCAGCUCAGGACAGCAGGGGGCACAGCCAGUGUGGGAUGUCUGCGGGGGCACACACGGUGCAGGGGGAGAGCGGGCUCCCGACUCCCGACCCUCCCUGCUUUUUGGGAACAGCCAGCCCGUUGGUUCCAAGGAUGCUUUGGUUCCUAUCCAAACCCAGCUUCAGCUGCUCCCCUUGCUAGGAGGUCCCAGCCCCCGUGAAGGGGGUGCUGCCGUAGGACCCCCAGCACCAGCACAGACCCUCGAACAGACUCUCAGCAGACACUAGUGCCGGUGGCGGGUGUUGGGAGGGGGAUAAUCGCUCGAGCCCCGUAGCUGCUUGGAGGCGCCAAGAACUCGCAGCACAGGGAUCGGGACUUGCGGAGUGAGUCUCGUUUUUUAAAAGAUACGUGGCCUCUCUGGGGUGUCUCUCUGCUUCCUGGGAUCAGGGGUGUCCUCUCCACUCUGGCAGCUGAGUUUGGGACAAGGAGCACAGGCCCUCACCCCAAGAGUGCUCGGCUGGACCACAGAGCAAGGUCAAGGUCUCCUGGGGGCACAGAGGCCCCGACAGUGCCAGCGGACAUGCACGAGAUGGAAAAACUUCGCUCAGUUGGGACCCUGCCGUGAGGCCAGGGCGGGGCAGUCGCCACCAUCUCUCCAUUUGCCUCGGCGGCCACGGCUCACCCCUGCCCGAUCUCUGAGUCAUCAAUGGGAAAAUGAGACGGGGCAAGUCCCAGCCUGGCGGCAGCUGGGAAUCCACUGAGGCCGGGUGGGGAGGCGGGGGAGAAGGGCCCGGCUGGCCCUAGUCAGGUGAGCUGGGCUGGGAGCUGAGGCUUUGGCAAGAGCCAGCCUGUUGCAGGGAAUGGGGACGAGUGCAAAGAGCUGCCGGAAGCAGAGGGUCUACCGCAGGAGGGAGCGGGCAUCGCGCCCGUGACCCUGGAGUCUGGCCUCUCCCGGAAGCUGGGGAGUAGAGGCACCUUGGCGGCCAGGCGCAGGGACCCCGGCAAGACUCUGAUUCGCUGUGCGCAGGGCUGCCAGGAGGCUGUACUGGGAGCCCGGGCUGACCUCCUCCCAGCCACCUGAGUGUCCCGCCCAGGACGCAGUUCAUCCUCCCGAUCAAAACCUCCCGAGGUUUCCCCGAUGCACAGGAAGGAAGUCCCAGCUCCCAGGAAGUGUGCCCUCCGAGGUCAGGGCUCUUUCCAGUGCCCGUCCCCACAGUCCCCAGCCGGCGCCCCUGCAUGGGAAGCGCCAGGUCCCAGGACUAGCUGGGGGCCUUUGCUCAGCCCACAACCCCGCCAUGGGGAGCCUCCCUACUCGGUCCAGGCCAAGGAACUGCUCUCUGCUCUCCCGUCACCACGCUGCCUGGCGACAGUCGGUCACUAUGUUCCUGCUGCCUCUGAGUUCCUGGGACAAGGCAGGCGAUUCAUCAUCACGACUGCAAACGGUAACCAAGCUUGCUCCGUGGGCACUGACCCACGAUCAGCACAAGGGGUCGUGGAACGUCUAGCCGCUGAGGUUUUACAUUCAGAAACUGAGGCCCAGAGAGGUCAUGUGACUUGUUAGGAGUCACACAGCGGCUGACUGGCGGAGGAGCCAGGAUUCGACUGGGCAGUGGACCUCUAGAUGUGUUCUCUGAAUCCACACCAGACGAGUACUUCUCCCAGGAUGAGCGGGCGAGUGACAGAGCCUCUGAGUCUCCAGGAACCUUCAGAUGUGAUCUUGCUGUGUUAUCACAACAGCCUGUGAUAUUGGACUAUUUCCUGAUAGAUGCCGUGGUGAAUCUUGGGCUGGGGGAGAAGCGCUUGGGGUGCAGGGCUUGUGUGGACCCCGCCCCUCGAGAGCGACGGGCCUGGUGAGCACGGGUUGUCACGUCUGCAAUUAGGGCCACGUGAGAUCCCGGCGCCCAUCUCACUCAUCGCGGUGCUCUCCCUGCCUCCUUUCGACGAAGGAAACGUCCGUGUUGGAUGGGCCCACGUGGCAGGACUGAGAGUGGCCUUUGACCAACGGCCCGCAGGGACCUGGGUCCCACCGGCGACCAUGUGAGUUUGGAAGCAGGUCCCUCCCGGUCAGACCUUGAGACGACACCCCCUCCUGGCCGACAACUUGACUGCUGUCUGUGAGACCCCAGAGCAGAAGGGCCGGGGGCACGCCCGGAUCCCUGGCCCUGAGAAGCUGUGAGAUGAUGCACUGUGUUGUCUACACCACAAGUCUGUGACGAUUUGUCACUCGGCAACAGAUAACGAAGCAGAUGCUGUCGUCAGGGCUCUCUUCUCGCCCGGCUCUUCAUACACUCACUGCUGUAGCCUCGGUCUGCUUGUCUGCCUCCACCCUCCCACCCCGGGGUAGGGACCACGUUCUUGGUGCCUUUCUUCUCUGGACUGGCCCUGUGCUUGGCUCACAGGGAGAGUUCAGUGUUUGCCUAGUGCCUGAGAGUCUAGAAUCUCCUGAGCGGAUGCCCUGGGCUCGGUCCAGUGGUCCUGGGGGCCGCGUGAGGAGGCUGGGGCCUGGGGGUGAGGAGGGGCAGGUCUGUUGUCUCCCACGUGGGCAGCGCACCUUCUCUCGCCAGCCUGUUUAGCCCAGGACACCCUGGAAUGUUUCCAGGCCGGAACGAUGUCCUUGGCCAUUUAAAAGCAUUAUCCGUAUGGCGGAGAAGACAAACUCCUUGAAAAAGAUGUUCUCCAGCACAGCAGAGAAGACGAGCUACUUUGCUGGGAGCCAGACGAGGCACCGGACUCCUCGUGCCACCGGGCAAGGAGGACGCAACCAGCAGCCUCCUGUGGCUGGUGUGACAAGCGACCACACACGUGGUGGCUUGAAACAACAGAGGUCCCUUCUUUCAUGGCUCUGGAGACCAGACAUUCGAAAUCAGCACGGGGCUGAUGCCUGGCUGGAGUCAGGGCGUCGGCAGGGCUGUACUUCGGACAAGCCUACGGACAAGAAUCAGCCCCUGCCUCUUCCAGCUUCUGGGGAUCCAAGGGUCCUUCGGCUGUGGCCCCAUCACUGCAGCCUCUGCCUCUGUGGUCACAUUGCCCCCUCCUGCUCUGUCUGUAAUCCUCUGUGUACCUCUUCUUACAGACACAUGGCAACUGUUACAGCCCACCCGGAUAAUCCAGGGUCGUCUCCACAUCUCAAGAUCCCUAACGUGGUCAUGUUUGCAAGGUCUUUGCCACGUAAGGUAAUAUUCACAGGUUCCAGGGCUUAGAAUGUGGACAUUUUGGGGGGCUAUCAUUCAGUCUGCCUGGAGGGUGUGCCCAGGAGGGAAGAAACUGAGGCACAGACCAUAUUCUCCUAUUCUUAGCAUCCUAUUCUCACCCAGCAAGUGAGGCCCGGAGUCUGAACUCCCAGACCGACUUCCCUGCUGCCAACGGCUGUCCUCACAUGAAGGGAGGUCAGGACAGACAGGGCCAGCCCUGCCUUCCCGUCCUGGCAUCUCCCUGCUGUCUGCCCCCCACCUCCCCUGGCACCUGCGUGGGAGGCCCAGCCGCACAGCCAGGCUCUUCUUUUCCUUUCCCCAAGAGCAGCAUCUCUCCCCAGGGCAGGUGAGGUAGCCCGGCAGAGGCGGAGGCUGUUAAGUCCCCCCCCAGACCGCCCACGCCCAUGGGAACACCUGGGUCCCAGGCACAUGCUGUGGACGUAACCCUCCCCAGGCCGGCUGACGGCUCCCUGGGCCUGGGCCUCUGCUCACGCAUGCGAUGCUGGCAGACGGCCCCAGCGCUGUUUCCUGAGGGACUUAAAGCUGCCCACCCUGCCAGGAGCCAGGAAGGGCGCGGGCGCGGCUGGCGGGGACCCUGGCAGGAAGGGUGUGCCCGGGGCACACGCGCCUCCUCUUCGGUCACCACCAGCACCCAGAAGGCCUUUGUUCAGGACUGAACUCUGUCGCGCCCUGGGAGGAACUGUGGACCGGCUGGAGGGACCCAUCCUGGCCCCUCCUGGCCCCAGAGUGGGGCUGCUGAGAUCUGUUUGCUCAGCCCUCCCUCACCAGUGUGUCUAGGGAGCUGGAAUGUGCAUCUUUGGCAGACAGUAAAUCCUGUGGAGAUGACCCAGGGGACGCUGAAGGUUCCAGCUGUCCCCAAUCAUUUUCCCUCCCCACCUCUCUGUCGCUGGAUCCACUGGGAGAGUUAUAAUGGUCUGAAGGGUGUGAAAAUGCUUGGUGAAGUUGGGACACUACCGGCCACGGGGACCAUUAUUAUUAGUCUCCAGGAGCUGGACCAGGACAGCCUCAUCUCCAGGUGGCUGGGGAGGCUGCCUGCUAGCACGUGGACCAUCGUGACGGUUUCUCCGCUGUGUGGCUGGUGAGCCGGUGUCACGGGGCUUUCAUACCUACCAUCGUGUUUGAUCUUCCCACCGCCUGGAGCAGAGAUGAGCCCUUCCCACUUUGCAGAUAAAGAAACACACUCCGGAAACUCUGGGUCAUUUGCUCAAAAUCACGUAGCGCUUGCCCGAUGUUGGGUCGGAACUGGGGUCUGUGGGCCGAGAACGGGCUGGGGCAGAGCAGCAAGGGGACGCUGGGGGUGCCAGGGAGCAGGGCCGCCAGGAAGAACAGUGACAAACACUGAAAGCGGGGCCAGAGUAAAGGAUGGGAGUUUGCGUCCCUGCCUGGGUGACUUAGGUGGGCGGCUGGGCUAUAAUUACAUCUUACUGAAGGCUAACGAGGGCUGGGACUCUGCUGGGUGCCCAGCAAGAACUGUAAAUAAUUCAAUUAGUAAAGCAGCAAAGGAACACGGGUGGAACAGAGGCUGUGAAGACAGGGUGGGAGCUGAGGUUUUCGGGAGGGAAGGGGCCGGGGGCGGAGUCACCACGAGGAACAGAAGUGCUGGCUGGGCCCCGUGCUGGGGUGGCCCCGGCGCUCCGGGGGCAGGCGUGCGGUGUGAGCAGGCCACGGCCGCUCGGCCUGGCCCCAUGGCCCUGAUCUGCCCUUCCCGGAGUCACACGAGAAAGACAAUAGUCCCAGAGAGACUCCUUCUGGGGACAGGACAGGCGGUGCCAGGCUGCCCGGCAGGACAAGGAACCCUUGUGCGCCCUCAGCCCAGAUCCUUCUCCCCCCUCCCUGGCCUUGGGCGGUGGUCGGAAGUUCAGAUCCUGGGCUGGUGGAGGCUGGGAGCUCACGCCAGGGGCCAGUGCUGGGCCGGGUCCCCUGGAGGUCUGGGCAGCGAGCCGGAGGGGCAGGGGCUGGGUCCUGGUGUUGCUCGAGGGGGCCUGCCUUGACCAGAGAGCGGCCUGAUGCAGCCCUUCCUCCUUGGCCCUCACAAUGGCCCUGGACACAAAGGGGAGGAGGCUUAGGCCCACCUUACAGAUGAGAAAACAGAGUUCAGAGAGGUGGAAGGCUCUACCCGAGGCCACCCUGGGGUUCACGCCAGCGCUGCUGCGGGGACAGGACCUGGGUGCCUGUCUGAGUGUAUCCAGAGGCGGAGGCCAUCUGAAGGGUGGGGAGGAAGCCCUCCUCCCACCCAUGACUCCACCUUCCCUCUGCUUCCCCUGCUGCCUCCACCUGGCCAGGCUCGGCCUCUGGGGCCCAGGCUGAGCCUGCAACACCCCGGAGAGGGGGCCAGGGUCCCAGCCAGACAGCUCUCAUUUACUCAGCUUUUCCUUGAAAUUCCACACACUCUGGGCGUUUGGCGGGAGCCUGGAAUGCUCUUCAUCUGAACAAUCUGUCUUUCAGGGCGCCUGCAUCAAUCACCCCAUUGUUCCUCCCGUUUCCUGGACCACUCAGGCUGGGGGGCACCCGGCGCUGGCGAGGGGGGCGCCCCCUGGUGUCCCCAUCUGCAGGCACUCAUUGCAGUGCCGGAGCUGAGCUGGUGACAGCGGCCUGAGGGCAUCUUCCGACCUCUGGGAGGGGAGAACCCACGACGAAGGCGGUCAGGCGCUUCAUGAAGAAGGGGUGCAGCUGUGAGAAAGGACACUCCCGGGGUCCAGGGCCAGGGUUCAGCCUGAACUGCCCCCAACAUCUGUGCGGCCUUAGGUGACUCAGCAACCUCUCUGGGCCUCGGGGGCCUUAGCCGUAAAUGAGAAGCUAUCCUGGGGCUGGCGCACACGGUGCUGCAGUCAUGGGCGGGGCCUGGAGACAGUGCACAUGGGGCUGCAGUGGUGGGCGGGGCCUGGUGCACACGGUGCUGCAGUCGUGGGUGGGGCCUGGAGACAGUGCACAUGGGGCUGCAGUGGUGGGCGGGGCCUGGGGCUGGUGCACACGGUGCCGCAGUCGUGGCUGGUCUGAAUCCCAGCUCUGCCACUUGUUGGUCAGGUGUAGCCGUUUGCCUGGACGAGCCUCAGUUUGUUGCUCUGUAAAAUGAGCUUAAUAACAGCCACUGCUCAUUAUUUGUGGAAGCCGUAUUUGCAGAUCAGCCCACUUGCUAAAAUUUAUUUGUAACCCCUGAUCACUACCCACGGGGCCUUUAUGGUCACUCACGUGCAGGGGGGUGAAAAGUGUCACCUGCGGCACACGUGCCCAGCUGGCGUUAAGCAAGACGACAUCUGCCUCCAGGUUUCCGUCUCAUACUGUAAACAAGUAUCUGGUGCCGCGGUUUUUGCAUAUUUGUGAUUUUGUCGGUGAUCCCGGUGUUUAAAAUGGCCCCCAAGCUGAUGCUGCAGGUGUCCUGAGCUCAAGGAAGCUGGGACGUGAUUUUUGGAGAAAACACGUUAGACGGGCUUCGUUCGGGUGUAAGAUCUAGGGCUGUUGGCCACGAGUUCAAUGUUAAUGAGUCUUCGGUACAUAUUAGAUAAAGUGUCUUUAAACAGAAAUAUACAUAAAACAAGGUCAUGUGUUGACAGGUUGGUGAAAACGCUGUGACCAGAGGCCCCCAGGAGCCCAGCCCUGUGUGUCCCAGGCGCCAUGGCUCAGGGUUUGUCAGGUGAGAGUUCGGUGAUGCUGGAACGACAGGGAUCAGUGGCAGGUCCCGCAGGUCCCUGAAGCCCUGAGGCUUGGCUGUGUCCGGUUGGCCAGUAGCUUGGCAGUCAUUACUGGUCCAUGACGCCGGAGUCCACAGGUCCUUCUCCUGACCUCUGAGCCUCCUGUGGGGUCAGCUGCCUAGACGUGGGACCACCCGCCCCCCACUGCCAAGGGCACACAUGGGACCCCACCGCCGGCUUCGCUCAGGCCUGGAGCUUCCAGGCAAUGCUUACUCCACCUGGUUUCAGCACGAGGCCCUCAGAACUCUCGAUGCCCACAGAGGCUCUCCUCGGACGUUAUCUAAUUUCAUUCUCGCGACAACCCGUGAUGGCAGCCUUUUUAAAAAAAAUUAUUUAUUUUUAUUUUUGGCCGCGUCGGGUCUUCAUUGCUGUGUGCGGGCUUUCUCUAGUUGCGGCGAGCGGGGGCUACUCUUCGUUGCGGUGCACGGGCUUCUUGUUGCGGUGGCUUCUCUUAUGGUGGAGCACGGGCUCUAGGCACGUGGGCUCAGUAGUUGUGGCACGUGGGCUCAGUAGUUGUGGCUCGCAGGCUCUAGAGCGCAGGCUCAGUAACUGUGGCACACGGGCUUAGUUGCUGCGCGGCAUGUGGGAUCUUCCCGGACCGGGGCUCGAACCCGUGUCCCCUGGAUCGGCAGGUGGAUUCUUAACCACUGCGCCACCAGGGAAGUCCCCAUGAUGGCAGCUUUGCAGUCCCGCUUUACAGACGAGCCUGAAUUUCAGGGAGCCUAAGUGGCCCGUCCAGGGUCACCUGGUCGGUGGGUCAGUUCUGCAGAGUCAGGAAGUUCCCUCCUCCAGGCUCCCCUGUUAAGACUUCAAUGCUCUGGGCAUGGUCAGGGCCACACCUGCUCACGGACACUUUAGUGACAAUGAAGGCAUUGAGGUCCCCAGGAAACUGGCAGAGAGCCACGAGAUCAACGUCUGAGCACCCCUCCCUCUGCCUCUGCCUCCGCCCCGGGCAGGGGGCUUACAGCCUACCCAGGUCACCCCACGACUCUGCCUACCCUUUGCCUGCAGUCCUGGUGGGCUGAGUCUGCAGCCCCACGGUCACCACGGCUACCUUCCUACACGUGAUGUGUAACCCCCAUCCCCCCUCCCACCCACCCCUCCCUCCCACGCCUUCUCAGUGAGUUUAGUUUUUAUCUGGUUAAAUUAAGAGUCUUUACAUAAUGUGACCAUGUAAAUACUUUUCACAGCAGAGCCAGCAUAGUUUAUUAUGAUUAAUAUCCCCGUUUUCCAGCACCACGAUUUUCUCUGAAGCUGAGUUCUGCCUUGUUUGCAUUUGCUGGGUCGUCUGUGUGUUCACGACUAACGAGCUUCCGUUUUUCUGGUGGCAGAGAGAACUCAGUUCAUGGGAACCCACAGGGGAUCUGGGAACGUUUCCUGCUCCCCUCCCCCUCUUUCCUUUUCUUCCAUGACUCCCCCGCCCCGCCCCUGCUCUAACCUGUGCUGGUCAUGCUGGUCCUUGGCCACAGCUGCUGGUCACUGGGUACUUCCUCCCCACCGACCUGGGACUUCCCUUUGCCUCUGCCCUAGUGACUCCCUGUUCCCGGCACCAAGCCCUCCCCUUCUGCGGGUUGUCCCUUCAUUUUGGUGAAACCCAGCCUCCAGCAGCUUCUUGAGAAAACAGACAGGAGGACUCUGAAGCUUCGCAUAUGUAAAAACAUCUUUCCUCCGCCCUCCAGGUCGGUUGAUGGUUUGGCUGGGCACCUGAGGCAUUCUGGUUGGAAAUCUCCCGUAGGAUUUUGGAGGCAUUUCCUAUUGUAUCCUGGUUUCUGGUACUGCUACCGAGAGGCCUGUAGCUGCCCGAGUUUUCAGGCCUUUGUGUGUGACCCCUUUUCUCUCCGGAAGCUGGUCUGGUCCUCGGGUUUUUGGCCCUCGUGGAGCUGGGCUCAUCGCUUCAGUUCUGAGAGGUGUGGGCUCAGCGUCUCUGGUGACUGACUCCUAGGCUGUCUGACCCUCCAUAGCUCCAAGUAGUAAAAUACUGGGCCCCCUGGAUGGGCCUUUCAUUUUCUUAUCCUUCCUGAUCAAUUUCUUUCUGCACUUUCCGGAAGAUUUCUUCCACUUCCCCAUCCAGCCCGUCUACUGAAUGCUUUAUGGUUGCUAUCGUGUUGCUAACUUCCGAGGGUUCUUUUUACUUUCCGAGUGUUCCUUUCCUUUUUUCUAAAGCAUUCUCUCCCAUUUCAUGGACACGAUAUCUCCUCCAUCUGGUUUUGAAGUUUUGUUCCGUUCCUUGCAUUUUGUGCUUUCCCCAGAUUAGUUUUGAAUGUUUUAGUUCCCUUCAAGUCAGCCGUUUUCCUCAAAUAUCUGGCGGUCCCUCAAUGUUCAUGUAUACAAAGGAAUCGGAAGCACUGAAAGGCCGUUGGAAGCUCUGUGUGUGGGUGCGGCUGGGGUCCUGCGGUCUAACUCCAGGGAUCCCGCGGCCUCACUGCAGGCCUGUCAGACGUCAGUGCUUUCCUCGGGAUGGUUGCUUUUCCUGGAUCCGAAUCUCCACCCUCUUGCCAGGGCGUCUGAGGCUGGCUGCCAGCGUUUCCGGAGCAGAAGUGGGAGGGGUGGCUAUUAGCCCUCCGUCUGUGAACUUUGCUCCGUCCUCUUGUUUUCAGUGUGAUGCCCGUAUCCUGAGCUAUGCCUGCGCCUGUGUCAUUGACUGUGCCGACACCCGCUGUCUUCCCUGCCUUCUAGGGUAUCCUGCUGAUCUCGUUCUACCCACAUCUCUUUAUCUCCUCCUCUGAAUUCCUUCCCCUGCCUGCCUUUGCAUGUCCGCCCCCUCGGGGUGUCAUCCUCCCCCUGUCUCCCCCCUCCCCCUCUUCUCCUAUCCCCACACCCCGCCCGUAUUCUCCAGGCCUUAGCUGGAUGCACUGGUGAUUCCCAGUCUGCCUGUCCAGGUACCAUGUCCCCCUGGAUCUCUGCGCCGGGAUAUCCACCCCCCCACAGCUACCGGCCAGGCUGCUGGUCCAUCCACUGAGCAUCUUGGGUGCCGUUUGUCCAGUGUGGACCUCGUCAACUUCCUCCCAAACCAGCUCUUCCUCUGUGAUGUACUUCUGCUUCCAGUUUAAGGCACCAUCCUGUCGACUGAGCCGAUUGGUCUAGAUUCUUUCCUUCACCCCCCACGGCCUCUGCCCCUCACCUCCCAGCACACAGCCUCGACAGCUAGAGCUGAAGACCAUCCUCCUGACGGCCUCUUGGAUCUGUUUUGCUCAUAAAGAAAUGUUGUCUGCCAUUCCGGUAACAGCAGCCUCUGCAGCCGGGCCCCCAUGCUGCGCCCUGAGGGGACUCAGGAUGGAGCAAAACAGGAUACUGGCCCUAGCGAGCUGAGAUGCCUAUCUCAGGAAUAAUUUCAGUGAGCCCAGACUCUGGCAUCUUCCCAUCCAUAGAAAGGUCCCCAAAUAUAACGUAACUCCUAACUUUUAGGUCGUGUGGUUUUCCUCCUUCGAAGUGUCGUCUGUUUCACGGCACUGCUGCUGCCUUAGUUCAGGUCCUCCUCGGCAGCCACCCUUAUUAUUAUUAUUGUACUGUGGUAUUUUAUAUGACUUAUAGUUAAAUUUUUCUAUAUUUGUUUAUUAUCAUUAUUAUUGUAAUGGCCUCUGAACUGGU